GUUAAGUCAGAUGUGAAAGCCCGGGGCUCAACCUCGGAAUUGCAUUUUGAAACUGGCAGACUAGAGUACUGUAGAGGGGGUAGAAUUUCAGGUGUAGCGGUGAAAAUGCGUAGAGAUCUGAAGGAAUACCGGUGGCGAAGGCGGCCCCCCUGGACAGAUACUGACACUCAGAUGCGAAAGCGUGGGGGAGCAAACAGGAUUAGAUACCCCUGGUAG
Molecule: ribosomal RNA, 216 nt
Filed under: uncultured bacterium
Lineage: Bacteria
Description: partial 16S ribosomal RNA
Rfam family: Bacterial small subunit ribosomal RNA
Source: RNAcentral